This 576-nucleotide ribosomal RNA is filed under the name Naganishia diffluens. RNAcentral describes it as "LSU rRNA". It matches the Rfam family "Eukaryotic large subunit ribosomal RNA", at positions 38 to 617 of the family's 3401-position model. The record is from RNAcentral. Lineage: Eukaryota; Fungi; Basidiomycota; Tremellomycetes; Filobasidiales; Filobasidiaceae.
GCAUAUCAAUAAGCGGAGGAAAAGAAACUAACAAGGAUUCCCCUAGUAACGGCGAGUGAAGCGGGAAGAGCUCAAAUUUGAAAUCUAGUAGCCUUCGGCUGCUCGAGUUGUAAUCUAGAGAAGUGUUUUCCGUGCCGGCCCAUGUACAAGUCCCUUGGAACAGGGCGUCAUAGAGGGUGAGAAUCCCGUCCUUGACAUGGACCCCCGGUGCUCUGUGAUACACUUUCAACGAGUCGAGUUGUUUGGGAAUGCAGCUCAAAAUGGGUGGUGAAUUCCAUCUAAAGCUAAAUAUUGGCGAGAGACCGAUAGCGAACAAGUACCGUGAGGGAAAGAUGAAAAGCACUUUGGAAAGAGAGUUAAACAGUACGUGAAAUUGUUGAAAGGGAAACGAUUGAAGUCAGUCAUGCUCUUUGGUAUUUAUAUCAUUGAGUGGGGUCAACAUCAGUUUUGAGCGAUGGAUAAAGGCACUAGGAAGGUAGCACUCUCGGGUGAACUUAUAGCCUAGCGUCAUAUACAUUGUUUGGGACUGAGGAACGCAGCAUGCCUUUAUGGCCGGGAUUCGUCCACGUACAUGCU